RNAcentral lists this ribosomal RNA (372 nucleotides) under uncultured organism. RNAcentral's name for it is "bacterial SSU rRNA". It matches the Rfam family "Bacterial small subunit ribosomal RNA", at positions 526 to 896 of the family's 1533-position model. The record is from RNAcentral.
CAGAGGUCCCGAGCGUUAGGCGGAAACACUGGGCUUAAAGCGUGUGUAGGUGGAUGGACAAGUACCUUGUGAAAUCCCACGGCUUAACCGUGGAACUGCUUGGUAUACUGUUCGUCUUGAGGCAUCUAGGGGCAACUGGAACAAACGGUGGAGCGGUGAAAUGCGUAGAUAUCGUUUGGAACGCCAAUGGUGAAAACAGGUUGCUGGGGAUGUUCUGACACUGAGACACGAAAGCCAGGGGAGCAAACGGGAUUAGAUACCCCGGUAGUCCUGGCCCUAAACUAUGUCCACUAGACGGUAGUGACUCUCACGUUGUUAUCGUCGUAGCAAAAGUGUUAAGUGGACCGCCUGGGAAGUACGGUCGCAAGGCUA